UGGGGUAUCGGCAAGUGGUAAGCCAACGGAUUUUGAUUCCGUCAUUCGUAGGUUCGAAUCCUACUACCCCAUCCA
RNAcentral lists this transfer RNA (75 nucleotides) under Bdellovibrionales bacterium. Its description in RNAcentral is "tRNA-Gln". It matches the Rfam family "tRNA". Rfam says of the family: Transfer RNA (tRNA) molecules are approximately 80 nucleotides in length. Their secondary structure includes four short double-helical elements and three loops (D, anti-codon, and T loops). Further hydrogen bonds mediate the characteristic L-shaped molecular structure. tRNAs have two regions of fundamental functional importance: the anti-codon, which is responsible for specific mRNA codon recognition, and the 3' end, to which the tRNAs corresponding amino acid is attached (by aminoacyl-tRNA synthetases). tRNAs cope with the degeneracy of the genetic code in two manners: having more than one tRNA (with a specific anti-codon) for a particular amino acid; and 'wobble' base-pairing, i.e. permitting non-standard base-pairing at the 3rd anti-codon position. The record is from RNAcentral. Lineage: Bacteria; Pseudomonadati; Bdellovibrionota; Bdellovibrionia; Bdellovibrionales.